GAUGAACGCUGGCGGCGUGCCUAAUACAUGCAAGUCGAGCGAACAGACGAGGAGCUUGCUCCUCUGACGUUAGCGGCGGACGGGAGAGUAACACGUGGAUAACCUACCUAUAAGACUGGGAUAACUUCGGGAAACCGGAGCUAAUACUGGAUAAUAUAUUGAACCGCAUGGUUCAAUAGUGAAAGCCGGUUUUGCUGUCACUUAUAGAUGGAUCCGCGCCGCAUUAGCUAGUUGGUAAGGUAACGGCUUACCAAGGCAACGAUGCGUAGCCGACCUGAGAGGGGGAUCGGCGCCACAGGAGCUGAGACACGGUCCUGGCACCGACGGGAGGCAGCAGCAGGGACUCUUGCGCAAAGGGCGGAAGACUGCAGGAGGAGCGCCACGUGGGUGAUGAAGGUCUGCGGAUCGGAAGACGCUGUUAUGAGGGAAGAACAAAUGUGUAAGUAACUAUGCUCGUCGUGACGGUACCUAAUCAGAAAGCCACGGCUAACUACGUG
RNAcentral lists this ribosomal RNA (497 nucleotides) under uncultured bacterium. RNAcentral describes it as "partial 16S ribosomal RNA". It matches the Rfam family "Bacterial small subunit ribosomal RNA", at positions 28 to 507 of the family's 1533-position model. The record is from RNAcentral.